GACGAACGCUGGCGGCGUGCUUAACACAUGCAAGUCGAACGGAAAGGCCCUGCUUUUGUGGGGUGCUCGAGUGGCGAACGGGUGAGUAACACGUGAGUAACCUGCCCUUGACUUUGGGAUAACUUCAGGAAACUGGGGCUAAUACCGGAUAGGAGCUCCUGCUGCAUGGUGGGGGUUGGAAAGUUUCGGCGGUUGGGGAUGGACGCGCGGGUUAUCAGCUUGUUGGUGGGGUAGUGGCUUACCAAGGCUUUGACGGGUAGCCGGCCUGAGAGGGUGGCCGGCCACAAUGGGACUGCGGUACGGACCAGACUCCUACGGGAGGCAGCAGUGGGGAAUAUUGCACAAUGGGCGGAAGCCUGAUACAGCAACGCCGCGUGCGGGAUGACGGCCUUCGGGUUGUAAACCGCUUUCGCCUGUGACGAAGCGUGAGUGACGGUAAUGGGUAAAGAAGCACCGGCUAACUACGUG
Molecule: ribosomal RNA, 468 nt
Filed under: uncultured bacterium
Lineage: Bacteria
Description: partial 16S ribosomal RNA
Rfam family: Bacterial small subunit ribosomal RNA
Source: RNAcentral